RNAcentral lists this ribosomal RNA (782 nucleotides) under Genea hispidula. RNAcentral describes it as "LSU rRNA". It matches the Rfam family "Eukaryotic large subunit ribosomal RNA", at positions 83 to 869 of the family's 3401-position model. Lineage: Eukaryota; Fungi; Ascomycota; Pezizomycetes; Pezizales; Pyronemataceae. The record is from RNAcentral.
GUAACUGCGAGUGAAGUGGCAAAAGCUCAAAUUUGAAAUCCGGUGCCUCUUGGUGCCUGAGUUGUAAUUUGGAGAGACAAAUUUGUUUGAUGGCGCCGGCCUAGGUUCCUUUGAACAGGACAACAUAGAGGGUGAGAAUCCCGUUCCUGGCCGGAUGUUCUGUCAUAUAUCUAAAUUGUCUUCGACGAGUCGAGUUGUUUGGGAAUGCAGCUCAAAAUGGGUGGUAAAUGUCAUCUAAAGCUAAAUAUUGGCGAGAGACCGAUAGCGCACAAGUAGAGUGAUCGAAAGAUGAAAAGCACUUUGAAAAGAGAGUCAAAAAGUACGUGAAAUUGCUGAAAGGGAAGCGCUUGAGACCAGACUCGAACCGUGGUGAUCAGCCGUGCUUCUGUGCGGUGUCACUUGCCACGGUUUGGGCCAGCAUCGGUUCUGGCGGUCGGAUAAAAGGUGGAGGAAUGUAGCUUCCUUCUGGGAGUGUUAAUUUAGCCACCACCACAAUGCGGCCAGCCGGGACCGAGGACCGCGCCUUCUUUGGCUAGGAUGCUGGCGUAAUGGUCUUAAGCGACCCGUCUUGAAACACGGACCAAGGAGUCUAACAUCUAUGCGAGUGUUCGGGUGGAAAAACCCUUGCGCGAAAUGAAAGUGAACGGAGGUGGGAACCCGCAAGGGUGCACCAUCGACCGAUCCUGAAGUCUUCGGAAGGAUUUGAGUAGGAGCACAGAUGUUGGGACCCGAAAGAUGGUGAACUAUGCCUGAAUAGGGUGAAGCCAGAGGAAACUCUGGUG